Schistocerca cancellata (South American locust) is the source of this 2157-nucleotide long non-coding RNA. RefSeq lists it as uncharacterized. NCBI's taxonomy places the organism in Eukaryota, Metazoa, Arthropoda, Insecta, Orthoptera, Acrididae. The record is from RefSeq and is a predicted model, not a curated record. The transcript is spliced from 2 exons.
UUUCUUUGUAUUAUAUGUAAGUUUUGUUAAACUAAAUGUUCUAUUUUGCAGUAAUUUGAUUUAAUUAUCAAGUGAUUUUGGAUUUAGCAAUUGAUUUAGUAUCAGCAUAAUUCGUGCCAGCAGCUGCGGUUAUACAAUUGAUACAAGUGAAUAUUAUUGGUUAAAACAGUUGGUUAUAUUUUUAGGGUUAAAAUAUAAAUUUGUAAGGUGAAAUGUUAAAAUUUAUUUAUAGCUCUUUUUAUGAAUCUGUGAAAUUUAAAUAAUAAACUAGGAUUAGAUACCCUAUUAUUUUAAAUGUUAAUUAUAUUUACCAGGGUACUAUUAGUUAAGGUCUUUAAACCCAAAGAAUUUGGCGGUAUCUCAUUCCAUUCAGAGGAACCUACCCCGUGAUUGAUAAUACACGAUUUACUCUACUUGAUUUAUUUGUUUGUAUAUGACCAUUAUCAGAGAAUCUUUUUAGAGUUAUAAUUCUCAAGAUUUAUAAUUAUAAAAUAUUUCAGGUCAAGGUGCAGCUUAUAGUUAAGAGGAGGUGGGUUACAAUAGAUUUUUGUUUAUAACAGAUUUGAUGGUGAAAUACUGUUAAUGAAGGUGGAUUUGAUAGUAAUUUAAUUUAUUUAAUUUAACUGAUAUUGGCUCUGAGGUGUGUACACAUCGCCCGUCGCUCUCAUUAUUGAUUAUUCUAUUUUAUUGUUUUAAUUUAUCUUCAAUUUAGAUGAGAUAAGUCGUAACAUAGUAGAUGUACUGGAAAGUGUAUCUAGUAAGAGUUUCAAGAUAUAACUUAUUAGUAAAGUGUUUCAUUUACACUGAAAAUUUUUCUGUGCAAAUCAGGAUAUCUUGAUUAUUUAUUUUAUUAUAUUUAUUUUUUGUUUAUUUAAUUAUUUAAUAAAAAUAAUUUUGUUGAAUUUUGUCUUAGUAUAUUUUGUAGAAUUGAUUUUUUAGAUUAUAGUUUAUUGGUAGUGUAAUUGUUUUAUGAAAUAUUAUUUUAAAUUUUUAAAAGUAGAUUUUAUUUAUUGUACCUUUUGUAUCAGGGUUUAUCAAAAUUUUAGUAUUUAUUUUACUUUUCUCGAUUUGGGUUGAUUUAUAAAUAAUUUAUAGUUAAUGUAUCAUAAUUAUUAUUAAAUUAUUUAUAGAAAUGAGAUGUUAAUCGUUUCCCAAGAUAUCUAGUUUCUUAAGAAAAAAUUUAAUUUUUUGAAGUUAAUUUUUUUAUUUAAUUUUUUAACUAUAAAUAUUAACUUAUUUAUUCUUUAAGGGAUAAGCUUUGAAGUUAAUAACCUAUAAUUUGUUUUAUAAAGUAUAAUAGUAAGCUUUAAACCAGCUAUCUUUAAGAUUACGUUUUAGUUCAUUAUUUUUUAUUUUGAUUUUAUAAUUAUUUUAGGUUUUUUAUUAAGAUAAUUUAUUUAAUUUUAAAAUUUUUGUAAUAAUGAUAGAAUUAGUAUAUUUAUUUGUAUAUAAUUUUUACCUUGUGAAUUUGUUAUAAGGAACUAGGCAAAAUUGAUUUCCGCAUGUUUAUCAAAAACAUGUCCUCUUGAAAAUACUUUGAGGUCUGGCCUGCUCACUGAGCAGAUUUUUAAAGACCCGCGGUAUUUUGACCGUGCAAAGGUAGCAUAAUCAUUAGUCUCUUAAUUAGUGGCUGGAAUGAAUGGCUUGACGAAAAAUCAACUGUCUCUCAAUAAAUUUUUGAAUUUAACUUUUGAGUCAAAAGGCUUAAUUUUUUUUUUAGGACGAGAAGACCCUAUAGAGCUUAACAUUUAACUUUUAUAUAGUUUUUUGUUUGCCUUUCUAUAUUUAAUGAUGAUGUUUUGUUGGGGUGACAUGAAGAAUAAAUAAACUCUUCAUUAUUAUAUCAUUAUUUAUGUUUGUUUUUUGAUCCAUAAUUUAUGAUCAUAAGAUUAAGUUACCUUAGGGAUAACAGCGUAAUUGUUUUUGAGAGCUCAUAUCGAAAAAGCAGAUUGCGCCCUCGAUGUUGGAUUAAGAAAAAUUUUGGGUGCAGUAGCCCAGUGAUUAGGUCUGUUCGACCUUUAAAUUCUUACAUGAUCUGAGUUCAGACCGGCGUGAGCCAGGUCGGUUUCUAUCCUAAGAUUAUUGAUUCAUAUUAGUACAAAAGGACCAUAUGGUUGAAAUAUUUUUUUAUUUUAUUGAUUAAUAUUAAUUAAAUUA